Long non-coding RNA from Gadus macrocephalus (Pacific cod), 4190 nucleotides. RefSeq lists it as uncharacterized. The record is from RefSeq and is a predicted model, not a curated record. The transcript has 3 exons. NCBI's taxonomy places the organism in Eukaryota, Metazoa, Chordata, Actinopteri, Gadiformes, Gadidae.
GCUGCUAGGCCUCUGAUUGGUCAUCGUCAAGUCUGCCCCCUCCGGUAGAAGGGAACUCUGAGAUCGAAAAAUUUUAAUGGGUUUCAAUGGAGAGAAAGUAAUUAUUUUCUGGUCCCAGCCUUUAUAUGCCCCGGAUUACACAUAUGUUGUUUGUGGAUUUAAAUGAUAAUUUUUCAUGUCAAGAGUUUGACCGUUUAUUGUGCAAUUGUUCAGUUAAGGGCUGUAGAGAAAACACAAUCAGGAAGACUACACGUCUCGUAUGUGACGUCAAGCUCCCUGCGACUGACGUGGACAAGAGCGACAAUCUCCCCAUCGGCAUAACUGAAACUCUACAUGCCCUGAUUUAUAAUGGUUUUCACCUCUUUCGAUGCUGUUGUCCUCCCCUUGGAAAAGUGCGGUGAAGUAGAAAGAAAAUAAUUACUUUCUCUCCAUUGAAACCCAUUCAUAUUUUACGAUCUCAGAGGUCCCAUGGGCUAUACUGGAAGGGGCGGACUUCUCUAUAGGUGAUUGAAAACAUGAAUUAUUCCAUAACAUGAAGUACUGGUUAAUAAUAAUAUAACAUACUGGUUAUCAUUAACAUGAAGUGCUGUUUAUCAUUAACAUGGCCUAUUGGUUAUCAAUAACAUGACCUAUAGGUUAUCAAUAACAUGACGUACUGGUUAUCAAUAACAUGGCAUACUGGUUAUCAAUAACAUGACGUACUGGUUAUCAAUAACAUGGCAUACUGGUUAUCAAUAACAUGACGUACUGGUUAUCAAUAACAUGACAUACUGGUUAUCAAUAACAUGACGUACUGGUUAUCAAUAACAUGACAUACUGGUUAUCAAUAACGUGACGUAUUGGUUAUCAAUAACGUGACGUACUGGUUAUCAUUAACAUGCCGUACUGCUUAUCAAUAACGUGAAGCAUUGGUUAUCAAUAACGUCAGUUAUAUAAGAAGAUGUUUCUGAUCACCUCCUGCUCACCUGAUCAGUAAACAGACCAGUGGUGUUCAGCUCAUUGGGUUAGUAGGCCAGCCAUGUCACAGUGCUCUGAACCACAUGAUGAACAGCAGAUAAACAUCUGAAGGGCUGGUCGAACCGCCUCAACCCAGACACACACACACGCACGCACACAUGCACAGACACGCACACAGACACACGCACACAGACACACGCACACAGACACACGCACACAGACACACGCACACACUCGCAUAACCAUUCACAGUUCUGUCGUCGGCCAUCAGAUGGCAGUGUGUUACAGCUGUGGAAGUGGAGAGUUCUGCCCUCGAGAACAGUGUGUGUGUGAGUGUGUGUUUUGAGACGUGUCUCCGCCCACUGGCGAGAUCACCUUCAGCCAAUCAGACAUCAUUCUCCCCCAAAGCUCCAGCCCCCCAACCUGUGAACACACACACACACACACACACACACACACACACACACACACACACACACACACACACACACACACACACACACACACACACACACACACACACACACACACACACACACACACACACACACACACACACACACACACACACCCCUCUCCUGGUAUCAGUGUGUAGAUAUCACAGCCUGAGGAUUCCUUCCCUGAUGGGACCGUUUGACCAGAACCACAUGUCUGUUUGUAUGCCACUGUAUACCUGUGUGUGUCUGUGUGUGUCUGUGUGUGUGUCUGGUGCCUGUAUACCUGUGUGUCUGGUGUCUGUAUACCUGUGUGUGUGUGUGUGUGUGUGUCUGUAUACCUGUGUGUGUGUGUGUCUGUAUACCUGUGUGUGUGUGUGUGUGUCUGGUGCCUGUAUACCUGUGUGUGUGUGUGUGUGUGUGUGUGUGUGUGUGUGUGUGUGUGUGUGUGUGUGUGUGUGUGUGUGUGUGUGUGUGUGUGUGUGUGUGUGUGUGUGUGUGUGUGUCUGUAUACCUGUGUGUGUGUGUCUGGUGCCUGUAUACCUGUGUGUGUGUGUGUGUGUGUGUGUCUGUAUACCUGUGUGUGUGUGUGUGUGUGUGUGUCUGUAUACCUGUGUGUGUGUGUGUGUGUGUCUGGUGCCUGUAUACCUGUGUGUGUGUGUGUGUGUCUGUCUGUAUACCUGUGUGUGUGUGUGUCUGUCUGUAUACCUGUGUGUGUGUGUGUGUGUGUGUCUCUCUAUGCGGCGUGCGGCCCCUCCGUCCUUCUCAGUGUCUAAUCACCUGUGAUAAUAGAGUUCUUAUCGAUUCAUUAGCUGCCAUCUGAUUAAGACGAGCGUGUAAUUGGUGUACAUCAGACACCCGGGCUCCCUACCCAGCAUGCCGCGGGGUGGGGGGGCCGACGCCCCCUAGAGCAGCUGGACCUUCGGCGUGGGGGCGCAGACCUCUCUAUUGUUUUAAUGAUUUCCAUCGGGGCUCAGACCGAUGUGACGGGCGCUUCAGGCUUCAGCGGGCGGCCGACGACAAAUGGCUUUCUGCCGCCGGCCGCGGCAGCGCACCACUCUGAUUGGCUGGUGGAGCGCCGGCUUGGACUGCGGAGUUAGCGGGGGUGAUUGGGUGUCCUCGUGCGUGAUGAGCGGCGGCGCUCGCAGCUGGGCCGGCCGCUCUCCGCCAAACCGACAUCUGGGGCCGCCGGGGAGAGGAGGUCCUCCGUACUCUCAGCCCGGCCUGAGAUCAGGACCGCGUGGCGCCACCCAGGGGCGCCGCGCGGGCGAGGGUUCAACGCCCGCCGUCGUCCAGACUACCUGUAGCCACCCAGGGGCUCCCUAGUUAGUGUGGCAGGAGUUGGUCUAUCGGUACUAGGAGUUAGUGUGGUAGUAGUUAGUUAGUGUAGCAGUUGUUAGUCUAUCGGUACUAGUAGUUAGUGUGGUAGUAGUACUAGUAGUUAGUUAGUGUAGCAGGAGUUGGUCUAUCGGUACUAGUAGUUAGUGUGGUAGUAGUACUAGUAGUUAGUUAGUGCGGCAGGGGUUGGUCUAUCGGUACUAGUAGUUAGUGUGGUAGUAGUUAGUUAGUGUAGCAGGAGUUGGUCUAUCGGUACUAGUAGUUAGUGUGGUAGUAGUAUUAGUAGUUAGUUAGUGUAGCAGUAGUUAGUCUAUCGGUACUAGUAGUUAGUGUGGUAGUAGUUAGUUAGUGUAGCAGGAGUUGGUCUAUCGGUACUAGUAGUUAGUGUGGUAGUAGUACUAGUAGUUAGUUAGUGUAGCAGGGGUUGGUCUAUCGGUACUAGUAGUUAGUGUGGUAGGAGUACUAGUAGUUAGUUAGUGUAGCAGGAGUUGGUCUAUCGUACUAGUAGUUAGUGUGGUAGGAGUACUAGUAGUUAGUGUGGUAGUAGUAGUAGUCUAUCAGUAGUAGUUAGUUAGUGUCGUUAGUGUCUAUUGCCCCUUUUCCACCGUCAACUCGCCUCGACUUGGCCUGCCUUUUUUGGUUUCGAUCCCCAAAAUGAGGCACCUGGUACCUGGUACUUUUUUAGUCUCACCUCCGUCCUGGCCGCUGAUUGGCCAGAGUGACGCCACUGGACGAAUAAUGAUGAGCGCGACGUCUGGCACCUUUAAAUACUAGCAUCAGCGAUCAGACACAGCAGUGAUUGAUCAUUGAACACGGCAAGAUCAGCGCGCAAGUGCACGCCGUUGACCGCGACCGAGCUGGAGACGCUCCUGCGUGUAGGCCUGUCUGUUUAUGUGUCGCCUUGUCGCGUUUGUGUCGCGGUUUAUUGACGACCCGCCCACGUCGAAGAGGUACUUUCUAAAUGGAAACACGACGUGCCUGGAAACAAACCAAGUCGUGCCACGCUAAGUCGUGGCGAGUUGAGCUGGGACUGUUUGUGGAAAAGAGGCAUAUCAGAAGUAGUUAGUGUAAGUACUAGUAGUUAGUGUAGCAUUAGUAGUUAGUCCAUCAGUACUUAGUAAUUAGUUUAGUAAUACGAGUACUGUAUUGGUAGCACUCAGUGUGAAGCACUAAUUGUAUUGCGUUAAGUGUGUAGUACUAAGUGUUAAGUGUGUGUUCCUGCAGGCACUCUGAGGUGAGCAGCACUAAGUGUUAAGGGUUAAGUGUUAAGUGUGUGUUCCUGCAGGCACUCUGAAGUGAGCAGCACUAAGUGUUAAGGGUUAAGUGUUAAGUGUGUGUUCCUGCAGGCACUCUGAGGUGAGCAGCACUAAGUGUUAAGUGUUAAGUGUGUGUUCCUGCAGGCACUCUGAGGUGAGCAGCACUAAGUGUUAAGUGUUAAGUGUGUGUUCCUGCAGGCACUCU